This 415-nucleotide ribosomal RNA is filed under the name uncultured bacterium. RNAcentral describes it as "bacterial SSU rRNA". It matches the Rfam family "Bacterial small subunit ribosomal RNA", at positions 505 to 918 of the family's 1533-position model. The record is from RNAcentral.
GUGCCAGCAGCCGCGGUAAUACGUAGGGGGCAAGCGUUGUCCGGAAUUAUUGGGCGUAAAGCGCGCGCAGGCGGUUCCUUAAGUCUGAUGUGAAAGCCCACGGCUCAACCGUGGAGGGUCAUUGGAAACUGGGGAACUUGAGGACAGAAGAGGAGAGUGGAAUUCCACGUGUAGCGGUGAAAUGCGUAGAUAUGUGGAGGAACACCAGUGGCGAAGGCGACUCUCUGGUCUGUUUCUGACGCUGAGGUGCGAAAGCGUGGGUAGCAAACAGGAUUAGAUACCCUGGUAGUCCACGCCGUAAACGAUGAGUGCUAGGUGUUAGGGGGCUUCCACCCCUUAGUGCUGAAGUUAACGCAUUAAGCACUCCGCCUGGGGAGUACGGCCGCAAGGCUGAAACUUAAAUGAAUUGGCGGGG